This 475-nucleotide ribosomal RNA is filed under the name uncultured bacterium. RNAcentral's name for it is "bacterial SSU rRNA". It matches the Rfam family "Bacterial small subunit ribosomal RNA", at positions 335 to 799 of the family's 1533-position model. The record is from RNAcentral.
ACUCCUACGGGAGGCAGCAGUAGGGAAUCUUCCACAAUGGGCGCAAGCCUGAUGGAGCAACACCGCGUGAGUGAAGAAGGGUUUCGGCUCGUAAAGCUCUGUUGUUAAAGAAGAACACGUAUGAGAGUAACUGUUCAUACGUUGACGGUAUUUAACCAGAAAGUCACGGCUAACUACGUGCCAGCAGCCGCGGUAAUACGUAGGUGGCAAGCGUUAUCCGGAUUUAUUGGGCGUAAAGAGAGUGCAGGCGGUUUUCUAAGUCUGAUGUGAAAGCCUUCGGCUUAACCGGAGAAGUGCAUCGGAAACUGGAUAACUUGAGUGCAGAAGAGGUAGUGGAACUCCAUGUGUAGCGGUGGAAUGCGUAGAUAUAUGGAAGAACACCAGUGGCGAAGGCGGCUACCUGGUCUGCAACUGACGCUGAGACUCGAAAGCGAUGGGUAGCGAACAGGAUUAGAUACCCCGUGGUAGGAUAGCG